This 468-nucleotide ribosomal RNA is filed under the name uncultured bacterium. Its description in RNAcentral is "partial 16S ribosomal RNA". It matches the Rfam family "Bacterial small subunit ribosomal RNA", at positions 28 to 507 of the family's 1533-position model. The record is from RNAcentral.
GACGAACGCUGGCGGCGUGCUUAACACAUGCAAGUCGAACGGAAAGGCCCUGCUUUUGUGGGGUGCUCGAGUGGCGAACGGGUGAGUAACACGUGAGUAACCUGCCCUUUACUUUGGGAUAACUUCAGGAAACUGGGGCUAAUACCGGAUAGGAUCUCCUGCUGCAUGGUGGGGGUUGGAAAGUUUCGGCGGUUGGGGAUGGACUCGCGGCUUAUCAGCUUGGUGGUGGGGUAGUGGCUUACCAAGGCUCUGACGGGUAGCCGGCCUGAGAGGGUGACCGGCCACAUUGGGACUGAGAUACGGCCCAGACUCCUACGGGAGGCAGCAGUGGGGAAUGUUGCACAAUGGGCGGAAGCCUGAUGCAGCAACGCCGCGGGCGGGAUGACGGCCUACGGGUUGUAAACCGCUUUCGCCUGUGACGAAGCGUGAGUGACGGUAAUGCGUAAAGAAGCACCGGCUAACUACGUG